UACGUAGGUGGCAAGCGUUGUCCGGAUUUACUGGGUGUAAAGGGCGUGUAGCCGGGCUGACAAGUCAGAUGUGAAAUCCGGGGGCUCAACCCCCGAACUGCAUUUGAAACUGUUGGUCUUGAGUAUCGGAGAGGCAGGCGGAAUUCCUAGUGUAGCGGUGAAAUGCGUAGAUAUUAGGAGGAACACCAGUGGCGAAGGCGGCCUGCUGGACGACAACUGACGGUGAGGCGCGAAAGCGUGGGGAGCAAUCAGG
Molecule: ribosomal RNA, 253 nt
Filed under: uncultured bacterium
Lineage: Bacteria
Description: partial 16S ribosomal RNA
Rfam family: Bacterial small subunit ribosomal RNA
Source: RNAcentral